Aethalodelphis obliquidens (Pacific white-sided dolphin) is the source of this 709-nucleotide long non-coding RNA. RefSeq lists it as uncharacterized. The transcript is spliced from 2 exons. Lineage: Eukaryota; Metazoa; Chordata; Mammalia; Artiodactyla; Delphinidae. The record is from RefSeq and is a predicted model, not a curated record.
AAGGUUCAGCCCUCUUUUCCUAACAUGGAAACUACCAUCUUCAUUCUCUGCUCGCUUCUGUUCAUGUGCUGGCAAAGAGAAAUGAGGAAAUCCUGGUUGUUCCACAGCAUCUAAGCCUUCGUAAAACUAUAAAACUCUACAAAGUCGUAAUAUGCUGUUCCACUGAAGUCACCUAGAAGAGGGCAGAGCCACGAGAUGGGAGAAGCCUGGGCUCUGAUUCUUAAAUGAGUAUGAAGAGCAAAUUCCCUCCCCUCUCCAUAUGCAAAUAAAUGAACUUGUAUAAUGUCAAAGUACUGGUAGUUUAUGUUUGCCUGUUAAAGAAGUUAAUUUACCAUGACAAAUACACUAUUUGCAAACAAGAAUCCUGAUUACUCUUGGUCUCCCUAGGUCACUAAAUUUUAAGUUUUUUAAAAAUGAGAACUAGAGUUUGAAAUGUAUCUUUUACUUAUCUAAUAUAUAGUCCAGGAUAUGCCCAUAGGUAAAUUAGAGCCAGAAUGUUCUUUAGAAAUAUGUAGUUCAAUUCUCCGUGUCCCAGUUUCCUUUCCACCAGCACACUUUUCACAAAAAAAAAGCAAAACCAAAGUUUGGAGAAAGCGAAAUAGUAGGAACUAAAUGAAUACUCAACAGAAUACAAUUAUGUAUAACUGCUGAUUCUUAGUCCAGUUUUCCAUAUUCACUUAUUCAGGAAAUAAAUUUGGAAAAAAAUGUU